GAUCGCAUCACGUUGAAACACCUGUUCUCGUAUGAUCACCGUAGUUAAACAACGUCGAGCCUGGUCAGUACUUAUAUGGGUGACCGCUUGGGAAUACCAGUUGC
Acanthosepion pharaonis is the source of this 104-nucleotide non-coding RNA. Lineage: Eukaryota; Metazoa; Mollusca; Cephalopoda; Sepiida; Sepiidae. The record is from the annotation of a GenBank genome assembly.